GGUGACAUUGUUUUUUUUUUUUUUUUUUUUAAGGAAGGUGGUGACAUUGUUGUUCUCCAUAUAGAAGUAUAUUUUCAUAAUUAAUAUCCACGAGGGCUGUUCAGAAAAAAUCAAAAGGUUUAAGUAAUAUAAAUUAAAAUUGCUCAAAUACCUCCCCGGGUCUUUUAAGUUUCAUGUUUGUUUCAGAUAGAUCAUUUAAGUUUCUAAGGUUUCAGAUGAGUCCUUUAAGUUUCAAGUUUGUUUCGGACAGUUCCUUUAAGUUUCGAGUUAGUUUCAGAUAGGUCCUUUCUAUCAACCUCUGUUAAGCCAAAGUUGAUCUGGUUAGGGAAAAAAUUGAUGCCAAGUGUCAGAGAGAACCAACUCACCAAUUAACGGACAUAUCAGCUUUGGUUUAACGGACAUAUCAACUUUGGCUUAACGGAGGUUGACAGGAAGGAUCUAUCCGAAACAAACUCGAAACUUAAAAGACCUAUCUGAAAUCUUAAAAACUUAAAGGACCUAUCUGAAACAAACGCGAAAUUUAAAGGACCGAGAGUGGUAUUUGGCCAUUAAAAUUCAAAUGGCAAGUUUAUAUAUAUAUAUAUAUAUAUAUAUAUAUAUAUAUAUAUAUAUAUAUAUAUAUAUAUAUAUAUAUAUAUAUAUAUAUAUAUAUAUAUAAGGCUGUUAAUUUACACCAACAUGAAAAUACUAAGGUGCAAGUUAGCAAGCUACACCCACCUAAAAUUAUUAAGGUGCAAGUUAGCAACCUACAUCUACUUGAUUAUUUACACUCAUUUUUAUAAUUUUUAACAAAUAAUUUGCACCCACCUCACUAAUUUACAUUCACUUUCAUGCAAUGACAGUGAAGAUUACUACAAACGCCGAUCAUAUCAUCAGGACAAUUUCGUUGACAAAGAUGUUUAAAGUCCUCAAGACAAGGAUACAAAAAAUCUGUGUUGUAUAACAAGAAGUAAAGAGUGUUAUGAAAAUGAAUAAAAAGUUGUGCAUAAAGUAGUGCAAAAACUCUGAGAAAUUAAAAUAGAGAAAGACAUUACCAGAGUUUACAACCCUAACAAGAAAAAAUAUGAAAA
RNAcentral lists this long non-coding RNA (1070 nucleotides) under Medicago truncatula (barrel medic). RNAcentral's name for it is "lncRNA gene15771". Lineage: Eukaryota; Viridiplantae; Streptophyta; Magnoliopsida; Fabales; Fabaceae. The record is from RNAcentral.